RNAcentral lists this ribosomal RNA (616 nucleotides) under uncultured bacterium. RNAcentral describes it as "bacterial SSU rRNA". It matches the Rfam family "Bacterial small subunit ribosomal RNA", at positions 338 to 950 of the family's 1533-position model. The record is from RNAcentral.
CCUACGGGAGGCAGCAGUAGGGAAUCUUCCACAAUGGGCGAAAGCCUGAUGGAGCAACGCCGCGUGAGUGAUGAAGGCCUUCGGGUUGUAAAACUCUGUCAUUCGGGACGAACCGGAGUCUGAGGAAAUGCAGACUCUCUGACGGUACCGGAGGAGGAAGCCCCGGCUAACUACGUGCCAGCAGCCGCGGUAAUACGUAGGGGGCAAGCGUUGUCCGGAUUCACUGGGCGUAAAGCGCGCGCAGGCGGUGAUGUAAGUCUGAGGUGAAAACCCGAAGCUCAACUUCGGGACUGCCUUGGAUACUGCGUCACUUGAGGAUAGGAGAGGCAAGGGGAAUUCCACGUGUAGCGGUGAAAUGCGUAGAGAUGUGGAGGAACACCUGUGGCGAAGGCGCCUUGCUGGCCUAUUUCUGACGCUGAGGCGCGAAAGCGUGGGGAGCAAACAGGAUUAGAUACCCUGGUAGUCCACGCUGUAAACGAUGAGUGCUAGGUGUAGGUGGGCUCAUACCCAUCUGUGCCGAAGCUAACGCAUUAAGCACUCCGCCUGGGGAGUCGGUCGCAAGCUGAAACUCAAGGAUUGACGGCNGAGAGNGCGAGGACGACACGAGGGGAGGAGG